GGGGGUUUAGCUCAGCUGGGAGAGCACCUGCCUUACAAGCAGGGGGUCAGCGGUUCGAACCCGUUAACCCCCA
This 73-nucleotide transfer RNA is filed under the name Vagococcus silagei. It matches the Rfam family "tRNA". Rfam says of the family: Transfer RNA (tRNA) molecules are approximately 80 nucleotides in length. Lineage: Bacteria; Bacillati; Bacillota; Bacilli; Lactobacillales; Enterococcaceae. The record is from Rfam by way of RNAcentral.